Molecule: ribosomal RNA, 3522 nt
Filed under: Minisyncoccota bacterium
Lineage: Bacteria; Bacillati; Minisyncoccota
Description: 23S ribosomal RNA
Rfam family: Bacterial large subunit ribosomal RNA
Source: RNAcentral
UAACAGGAAAUUAAUAAGGGCGCACGGUGGAUGCCUAGACUUUAAGUAGCGAUGAAGGACGUAGUGUAGCUGCGAUAUGCUUCGGGGAGGUGCUAAACAACCUUUGAUCCGGAGAUUUCCGAAUGGGGAAACCCUAUAGAGUAAACCUCUAUAAUUUUGUUCGCAAGAACAUUAAGCGUACCCUGGGAAGUGAAACAUCUCAGUACCAGGAGGAGAAGAAACAAAUAUGUAUUUCCUAAGUAGCGGCGAGCGAAAAGGAAGAAGCCCAAACCGAAUCGCAAGAUUCGGGGUUGUAAGACAACAAUGUAGAUUUCUAGAAGAGUCAAAAAAUAAGUUAUUAGCUGAAUUUGCUGGAAAGCAAAACCAUAGGGAGUGAUAGUCUCGUAAGCGAAAAUAAUUUAUCUCUUUUAUUGUUGUUCUUGAGUACCCCAGGACACCAAAAGCCGGGGGGAAUCUACCAGAACUAACUGGAAAGGCUAAAUAUACUUAAAGAUCGAUAGUGAACUAGUACCGUGAGGGAAAGGUGAAAAGUAGUCCGGUGAGGACGAUGAAAUAGACCUGAAACCGUGUGUCUACAAGGAGUCGAUGCUCGCAUUUAUGUGAGCUACGGCGUGCCUAUUGAAGAAUGAGCCAACGAGUUUAUGCAUGUUGCGAGGCUAAGUCAGCUAAAAUGACGGAGCCAUAGGGAAACCGAGUGUUAAUAGCGCAAAUGAGUAAUAUGCAUAAGACCCGAAGCAAGGUGAGCUACCCAUGAGCAGGGUGAAGUAAUGCGAAAGCGUUAUGGAGGCCCGAACCCGUUGAUCGUAUAACGUCUUGGGAUGACUUGUGGGUUGGAGUGAAAAGCUAAUCGAACCUUGUAAUAGCUGGUUCUCUCCGAAAUAGCUUUAGGGCUAGCGUCGCAUGUUUCUUUUGGGGGUAGAGCACUGGAAGGAUUCAACAGGGAGCAAUCUCGUGAAUCCUAUCAAACUCCGAAUACCAAAAGCUAUAGUGUGGCAGUUAGGCUAUGGGGGCGAAGCUCCAUUGGCCAAAAGGGAAACAGCCCAGAUCUCAAAAUAAGGUCCCUAAAUUCAUGCUAAGUGUAAGACAAGAAGGUGAGAUUUCUCUGACAAUGAGGAGGUUGGCUUAGAAGCAGCCAUCCUUUAAAGAUAGCGUAACAGCUCACUCAUCCAGAGAUCUUGCGUCGAAAAUAAUUGGGGCUAAGCAUGGUACCGAAUUUGAGGAUUCGUUAUUCCCUCGGGAAUAACGAGUGGUAGGAGAGUGUUCCAAUCUGCAGUGAAGGCAGACUCGUAAGAGCUGCUGGAGCGUUUGGAAGUAAGAAUGUUGGCACAAGUAACCGCAAUGGGGCUGAGAACGCCCCACGUCGAAAGAUCAAGGUUUCCUUGGUAAUGAUAAUCAUCCAAGGGUUAGUCGGUCCUAAGGGGAUGGCGAAAGCCGAACUCGAUGGACAUAAGGUUAAUAUUCCUUAACUUUCUUAUUUUGUGAUGGGAGGACGAAAUGCAGUAUAUCUUGCUCAUUAAUGGAUUUGAGUUUGCUUAUCGAGGGUCUUGCAUAGGAAAAUCCGUGCAGUGUCUUAAAUGACAGAUCAUUGAGGAUAAGUGAAAAGUUUACAGCUUCGGCUGUGGGCAAUCUGAUAAAACGCGUUUCCAAGAAAAUUCUCUAAACUUAGAAAUAAGAAAUCCGUACCGCAAACCAACACAGGUGAUCAGGUCGAGUAGACCAAGACGAACGAGUGAGAGGUCCCCAAGGAACUCGGCAAAAAAGCAGCCGUAACUUCGGGAUAAGGCUUGCCCUCCAUUUAUUUGGAGGGCCGCAGCGAAAGAUUCCCUGGCAACUGUUUACCAAAAACACAGCUCCCUGCGAACUCGCAAGAGGAUGUAUAGGGGGUGACACCUGACCAAUGCCAGAAGGUCAAACAACGCCGUUGAGAUUAUAUCAAGGUGAGUGUUGUAAGCCCUGGUGAAUGUCGGCCGUAACUAUAACGGUCCUAAGGUUCUACGCGUAACUUAAUUGUUGUGCGCGGAAUGACUGGGACCGUUAAGAAAAAGGUAAACUAGUUAAUUAGAAAAUCAUAUGACCAAUUCGAAUGCUACCUACCGUACAGUAAUGUGCGGUCAGUCAAAACUUGACUAACGAGAGACCAGCGUCAAGCAACCUACUCCUUAAAAAGAGGUUGAAGAUAGAGUCCUUCUUAGGUAUAGAAGAGCGAAAUACCUUGUCGGGUAAAUUCCGACGCGCACGAAUGGUGUAAUGACUAGGGAACUGUCUCGGGGACCAGCUCGGUGAAAAUACAAUACCGGUGAAGAUGCCGGUUAAGUGCAGUUAGACGAAAAGACCCUAGAAGCUUUACUAUAACUUGAUAUUGAGCAUGUUUUUAAACUGCGUAGAAUAGAUGGGAGAGGUCUGAUGUUCAGGAUUUCGGUUCUGAUCUACUCAACAGUGAAAUACCAUUCUUUUUGAAGGCAUGUUCUAACCUGUACGGUAAAAACGUACGGAGACAGUAUCUGGUGGAUAGUUUUACUGGGGCUGUACCCUCCUAAAAAGUAAAGGAGGGGUUUAAAGGUUAGCUAGGCGCGAAUGGAAACCGUGCCGAUAGUGUAUAGGCACAAGCUAGCUUGACUGUAAGUCGUACAUGACAAGCAGGUGGGAAACCAGAACUAAGUGAACCGACCAUACGUAUUAGACGCGGUGGAAGAUUAACGGAUAAAAGCUACUCUAGGGAUAACAGGCUAGUUCCGCCCAAGAGUUCAUAUCGACGGCGGAGUUCGGCACCUCGAUGUCGGCUCACCUUAGCGCGGUGGUGGAGAAGCUACCAAGCGUUUGGCUGUUCGCCAAUUAAAAAGGUACGCGAGCUGGGUUCAGACCGUGGAGGAGUUACAUCAUAUAGCAAUAUAUAUAGUGACUUUUCCACAGUCUGAAUCCCAUGCGAGGAAAGAAAGAACUUGAAAAAGAACUUAAACUGUUUUAAUCGAAAUUAACCAAGUUGUGUGAUUCGCAAAGCGAAUUAACAUGACAUCACGGCGGCAUGCUGUAGUAAUACAACAUGAGAAGCUAACUUAUAUCGAAGAAAUCCGAAUCAUGAAAAUGAAGGACAACGUCGAGGGAAUAUUCAAUAAAAUGAAUUGCCCGUAGAGACUGAAUGUUAGACAACCACUAAGAAAUUAGCGAGUUGAAGUCACAGUCCAAUCCCCAUAGUAAUAUGGGAACACUUCGCGGAGGCGAAGUGGAUAGAUGCGUGAGACAGGUUGGUCUCCUAUCUACUGCACUCGUUGAUUCUUGAGAAGAUUUGCUCCUAGUACGAGAGGACCGGAGUGAACUGACCUCUGGUGUGAGAGCUCUGGCGCCAGCCGGACUGCUCUGUAGCUAUGUCGGGAAUGGAUAACCUCUGAAAGCAUCUAAGAGGGAAGCCAGCUUCAAGAUUAGGAAUCGUUUAGAACCCUGAGAGAUGAUCAGGUUGAUAGGCUUUAAGUGUACGCACAGUAAUGUGUUAAGCUGAGAAGUACUAAUGUUUCGAUUCCUGUUAGG